CUCCAUCCAUCCGUGUAUAUCUAUUGGUAUUCUGGAUGUUGAUAUUUUUUCUAUUAUCCUUGUCAAACUUUAAAACAGUUUGAUUUAAGACAAAUCUGUGGGCCUUAUGUACCCGGAUGGAGGGAAUAUUUUUUCUGAUCAACUAUCCUGAUUUCGCUCUCAUUUUUUGAAGUUUGAGUAGAGUGAACAGAAAUGUUGUAUGAGCAGUGCAUGGCCUCACCUAAUUAUUGAGUUUAAUGGAAAAGUGUUCAUUUGCAUUUUUUUUUUGAACCGGGCAACCCCUUUUCCAUUACUCACAUAACGGAAAUACAAAGUUCAGUUUUGAAAAAGGAAACCAGAAAAAGGGGUGCGAGUUCAGAGCAUUCUUGGGAAACCUACACAUAGACACUCAUCAUCGAGCAGCCUAUCGUAGGGCAAAAACCCAAGAACACCCGUACCACGCACAGACCAUCUACAAAGUUUUAGGAGAACUGCAAGUAUAUAUUACACAGGUCAUUGCCUGAAAUCACUCCACGCAGGGAGGUCACCACCAAAUCACUAAGAACCACCAGCUACAUCCAUCAACAACCAUCCUCUAGGGCCGCACAGAUCCUCAGCAUGUUCGACGCGUUCCUCUUCAGCAUCUUCGCCCCCCGCUCCAUCGCCAGUUUGUCUUCCCCUGUUAGGAGUCCUGCCUAAUAUGUCAGGAAUCCACAAGCAGAAUAAACCACAUCAAAAGGGGACCCCAACUUCUUCUCAAAUGUCGCGCGAUUGCGGCAGUUCCACAAUGCCCAACAGAUAGCAGCCAAACCACAAGUAUAAAACCUGACACCAUUAGGCAUAUAGGCAAAGCACCAAGCGUAAAAUUGCCAAAGAUUAUCAGGACCAUUACUAGUCCCAAGCAUACACCCCAUUGUUCUUCAAACCACUCUAGCCACAGGGCAAGAAAAACACAAGUGUUGUGAAGUCUCCCUUUCUGAACAAAAUGUUCAUUUGCAUUAGUGUGUGGUUGAUAACCUUUUUAUGCUUCAUGAACAACACUAAUUUCAGUUGUAGGUAUUGCUACUUGCUGAAAAACCUGUAAUGAUUUCUCAUAAGAUGCUAGUUUAGAAUUCAGAUUGCUUGAACAUGGAAGAUUAUUUCCAUGCAGAGAAAAGAAGGAAGUUGGAAGAUUACACAUUCUUGUAAUGUGAAGAAGAUUAUCAUGACUACCAGUUGAUAAUGUACUCCUUCUGUCCCAAAAUAAGUGACUNAGUCACUUAUUUUGGGACGGAGGGAGUAGUAAAUUAUCCUGUCAAUGAAUAAUUUGUUUUUAGAGGUCAACUAGCAAACUGCUCAUUUCUACAUUCUUUUAAUCAACUGCACUUUGUUCAUAAUUGUGGCGAUCUGUAGUUGUUCAACGUCUUAAAUUAUCCAUAAUGUUUUAUUAUGCAAGUACGAAGUUGUUUGCAGUGUUAACAACUUAACUACCGGGCAGAAUGUUGGCAACAGAAGCCAUUGCUGAUUUUUUUUCUAAUGUCAUGGUCCAGCAAAUCAUAACUGGAUCUCAUCAUUUUUGUUACUUUUAUCCUUGACCAGGACCCUGAGGCCUCUCUGGGAAACAAGAGUUAGCCCAAAUGUCAUCUACAGUGCACAUCAUUUGCCUGGUGACACUUCGACGCUGGUCGUUGGUGGUAUUGAUGGCGUCCUUCGCCUGAUAUGCCAGAGAACCGGCGAUACUAUUCGAAGCUUCAUCAUGGAUGCAGGCUACCCAGCACAGUCCAGCUCCAGGCUGCAAGCUGAACAAAAGAAUGUCCGCCCAGCGGAAUCUGGCCCCAGACAGCAAGUCGAAAAGAAGCGAGUCCAUGAAAUCGCUCCGGAUGCCCGGCUGGACAACAUUCCUAUGCACCUGCGCCCGCCAAUCGCCGGCCUGUCAGUGGGCAUGAAGAAAAUCGUGACCACGCACGGUGAAAACUACAUCCGCGUCUGGAAAUUCCGCUCAUAGAGUUCUUAGAAUGGUCAUCGGGAAUUCAGAAGAACUUGCGCUGUUUCUAAACGAGACACUGUAAGUAAGCUUGUAACAGUACCCUGAAGAUGUAGUGUUGGUGUUGACACGCUGUACCGCCAACGCCAUUUGUAUUGCCGUGGAAAAUAAUAUUUAUGUCGAAUUUAUGUUCUUUUUUCUCCGGAAGGAAAAGAGAAUUAUAGGAGUUACAAUGUGUUCAGUUUUGUGUACUUGCCUUGCCUCCUCCGCCAAUUUGCUCCCAUCCGCG
This 2231-nucleotide long non-coding RNA is filed under the name Hordeum vulgare. RNAcentral describes it as "long non-coding RNA (HVUL_LNC008846)". Lineage: Eukaryota; Viridiplantae; Streptophyta; Magnoliopsida; Poales; Poaceae. The record is from RNAcentral.